AGCACUCAUAUAAGUCGACAAUGCAUCUGCAUUCUAGAAAAUAAUUCAGUGUUCCAGACAAGAAUAUUGUUGAUUUUUGAAGAAAUUUCCCAUACCUACACUAAAGGAACACCAAAUUUAUUACUGUAUCAGUGAGACAGCUGUUGUGACAGUAAAGUGAGACCCUUGUAGCAAAAGCACUUUUCGGACUCCAUGAUGUUAGGAAACUGCAAAACACCUUCUUCUGAGUCCAGAGACUGGAAAAUGAACUCUUGUGUGGCCUCUAGUACUAGGAUGGCUGAGUUUCUUCAACCUGUUGCAUGCGAAGAAAGUGAAGCAAAGAGAACACAGGC
RNAcentral lists this long non-coding RNA (332 nucleotides) under Homo sapiens (human). RNAcentral's name for it is "HSALNT0401064". The record is from RNAcentral. Lineage: Eukaryota; Metazoa; Chordata; Mammalia; Primates; Hominidae.